UAAUUUAAGAGUUAGUUUAGAGGUUUUAGUGAUUAGAAAUUGAAAUGAAAAUAGUUUGAUAGUUAAGGUUUUUAGUUGUAGUAGUUUAGUAAAAGAAGGACUAGUUUAUAGUUUGGAAAUGGUUGAAGGAUUAGAGUUUUAGUACAAAGGCUGUAAGCUUAGCAUAGUUUUUGGCUU
Molecule: long non-coding RNA, 177 nt
Organism: Populus euphratica (Euphrates poplar)
Lineage: Eukaryota; Viridiplantae; Streptophyta; Magnoliopsida; Malpighiales; Salicaceae
Exons: 4
Source: RefSeq, a predicted model, not a curated record